This 77-nucleotide transfer RNA is filed under the name Gammaproteobacteria bacterium. Its description in RNAcentral is "tRNA-Met". It matches the Rfam family "tRNA". From Rfam's summary of the family: Transfer RNA (tRNA) molecules are approximately 80 nucleotides in length. The record is from RNAcentral. RNAcentral also lists the same sequence under 1 other name. Lineage: Bacteria; Pseudomonadati; Pseudomonadota; Gammaproteobacteria.
GGCUACGUAGCUCAGCUGGUUAGAGCAUCGCAUUCAUAAUGCGAGGGUCAGUGGUUCGAAUCCACUCGUAGCUACCA